AGUGGGAUAGCUGGGUCAAAUGGUGGUAACAUUUCCAGUUUUCCAAGGAAUCUCCAUACUGCUUUCUAUAUUGGCUGCACCAAUUUGCAGCCCCACCAGCAAU
Molecule: microRNA precursor, 103 nt
Filed under: Marmota monax (woodchuck)
Lineage: Eukaryota; Metazoa; Chordata; Mammalia; Rodentia; Sciuridae
Source: RNAcentral